ACUCCUACGGGAGGCAGCAGUGGGGAAUAUUGCACAAUGGGCGCAAGCCUGAUGCAGCAACGCCGUGUGAGUGAAGAAGGUUUUCGGUAUCGUAAAACUACUGUCCUAAGGGAAGAAACAAAAUAGACGGUACCUUAGGAGGAAGCCCCGGCCUAACUACGUGCCAGCAGCCGCGGUAAUACGUAGGGGCGAAGCGUUAUCCGGAAUCACUGGGCGUAAAGGGUGCGUAGGCGGCUUAGCAAGCCAGGGGUGAAAGGCAUUGGCUCAACCAAUGUAAGCCUUUGGAACUGUUAAGCUUGAGUGCAGGAGAGGUAAGUGGAAUUCCUAGUGUAGAGGUGAAAUUCGUAGAUAUUAGGAGGAACACCAGUGGCGAAGGCGACUUACUGGACUGUAACUGACGCUGAUGCACGAAAGCGUGGGUAGCGAACAGGAUUAGAUACCCUGGUAGCACAGAG
Molecule: ribosomal RNA, 455 nt
Filed under: uncultured bacterium
Lineage: Bacteria
Description: bacterial SSU rRNA
Rfam family: Bacterial small subunit ribosomal RNA
Source: RNAcentral